Molecule: ribosomal RNA, 468 nt
Filed under: uncultured bacterium
Lineage: Bacteria
Description: partial 16S ribosomal RNA
Rfam family: Bacterial small subunit ribosomal RNA
Source: RNAcentral
GACGAACGCUGGCGGCGCGCCUAACACAUGCAAGUCGAACGGAGCUGAGAGAAGCUUGCUUUUCUUAGCUUAGUGGCGAACGGGUGAGUAACGCGUGAGUAACCUGCCCUGGAGUGGGGGACAACAGUUGGAAACGACUGCUAAUACCGCAUAAGCCCACGAUCCGGCAUCGGAUUGAGGGAAAAGGAUUUAUUCGCUUCAGGAUGGACUCGCGUCCAAUUAGCUAGUUGGUGAGGUAACGGCCCACCAAGGCGACGAUUGGUAGCCGGACUGAGAGGUUGAACGGCCACAUUGGGGCUGAGACACGGCCCAGACUCCUACGGGAGGCAGCAGUGGGGGAUAUUGCACAAUGGGGGAAACCCUGAUGCAGCGACGCCGCGUGGAGGAAGAAGGUUUUCGGAUUGUAAACUCCUGUCGUUAGGGACGAUAAUGACGGUACCUAACAAGAAAGCACCGGCUAACUACGUG